UACGUAGGUGGCAAGCGUUGUUCGGAAUUAUUGGGCGUAAAGGGCGCGUAGGCGGUUUGUUAAGUCGGCUGUGAAAGCCCGGGGCUCAACCCCGGAGGGUCAGCCGAUACUGGCAGGCUAGAGUACAGAAGAGGUAACUGGAAUUCCCGGUGUAGCGGUGAAAUGCGUAGGUAUCGGGAGGGACACCUGAGGCGAAGGCGGGUUACUGGGCUGAUACUGACGCUGAUGCGCGAAAGCCAGGGGAGCAAACGGG
RNAcentral lists this ribosomal RNA (253 nucleotides) under uncultured bacterium. Its description in RNAcentral is "partial 16S ribosomal RNA". It matches the Rfam family "Bacterial small subunit ribosomal RNA", at positions 524 to 776 of the family's 1533-position model. The record is from RNAcentral.